RNAcentral lists this non-coding RNA (26 nucleotides) under Rattus norvegicus (Norway rat). Lineage: Eukaryota; Metazoa; Chordata; Mammalia; Rodentia; Muridae. The record is from RNAcentral.
UCCCAAAGCCGUCUAGGUGCUCGUGC